UUGAAUUCUGGAAUGAAAGAUUUUACAUUUAGCUUUUUUUUAAAAUUUUAUUUUUAACUUAGGGUUUUAGUAAAAACACUGAAAUUCUUAAAAAAGACGAUAAGACCCUAAAAGCUUUAUAUUAAAGAAAUAUUUUACUGGGGUAGUAAUAUUAUCAAUUAAUAAUAAGUUAACUUUUGUUAGGUUAUUCCUUAAUAUUAGGAUAAAAUAAGUUACUUUAGGGAUAACAGCAUAAUAAUGUUGGAGAGAACACAUCUAUAACUUUGAUUAUGACCUCGAUGUUGAAUUAAUAAUUCUUUUUAAAGCAGCUUUUAAAUAAGAGGGUUUGUUCAACCUUUAAA
Molecule: ribosomal RNA, 341 nt
Filed under: Cymadusa alyxis
Lineage: Eukaryota; Metazoa; Arthropoda; Malacostraca; Amphipoda; Ampithoidae
Description: partial large subunit ribosomal RNA
Source: RNAcentral